Molecule: ribosomal RNA, 326 nt
Filed under: uncultured bacterium
Lineage: Bacteria
Description: partial 16S ribosomal RNA
Rfam family: Bacterial small subunit ribosomal RNA
Source: RNAcentral
UGGGGAAUAUUGGACAAUGGGGGCAACCCUGAUCCAGCAAUGCCGCGUGUGUGAAGAAGGUCUUCGGAUUGUAAAGCACUUUCGACGGGGACGAUGAUGACGGUACCCGUAGAAGAAGCCCCGGCUAACUUCGUGCCAGCAGCCGCGGUAAUACGAGGGGGGCUAGCGUUGCUCGAAAUGACUGGGCGUAAAGGGCGUGUAGGCGGUUUACACAGUCAGAUGUGAAAUCCCCGGGCUUAACCUGGGAGCUGCAUUUGAUACGUGUAGACUAGAGUGUGAGAGAGGGUUGUGGAAUUCCCAGUGUAGAGGUGAAAUUCGUAGAUAUU